Molecule: small nuclear RNA, 106 nt
Organism: Prolemur simus (greater bamboo lemur)
Lineage: Eukaryota; Metazoa; Chordata; Mammalia; Primates; Lemuridae
Source: Ensembl
UAGCUCACUCCACAGCACAUGAACUAAAAUUGGAACAAUACGUAGAUGAUUAACAUGGCCUUUAUGUAAGGAGGUUGCACAAAUUCAUAAAGUAUACUAUGUUUUU